This 777-nucleotide long non-coding RNA is filed under the name Homo sapiens (human). RNAcentral describes it as "HSALNT0045974". Lineage: Eukaryota; Metazoa; Chordata; Mammalia; Primates; Hominidae. The record is from RNAcentral.
AGUGCUGGGAUUACAGGUGUGAGCCACUGCACCUGGCCUAAUUUUUGUAUUUUUAUUAGAGACGGGACUUUGCCAUGUUGCUCAGGCUGGUCUUAAACUCCUGACUUCAAACUCCUGAUCCAUCCUUCUUGGCCUCCCAAAGUGCUGGGAUUACAAGUGUCAGCCACUGUGCCUGGCCUCAGCUGUUAUUCUUCAUGCGUAUAUUUGUUUUGUUCAUUUGGGGCACCUUGUUGGUUAUCAUAAAUUUUGGUGUGAUCAGGUACUGCUCCUUAAUAAUACUGUAUUUGGCUGGGCGUGAGCCACCGUGCCUGGGCUUUAACUCAGGAUUUCAUAAAGAAAACAAGAUUGAGAAAAACCAAAUCUGUUUGUUGUAUAAAAUAAUGUAUAGCUCUGAAUAGUCAUGUCUGAUUUUGGGUAAAAUGCUAAAAGACUAUUCUUCUAUGAAGUGCUUUUUACUUUUGCAGUUUUAGGUGGCAAAAUAAUUUCAUAUUCUUAUUUCCUCACAGAAACCAUAUGUCUGUGGUUGCUUCUUAGCUCUAUCAAAUAUCCACCUAAGUGCACCAGUAGGUUAAAUUGUUUCUCAUAAAAGGUUAGUUUUGACAAAUUUUUGCUGUUAGCUUUUCAUUAUCACCAGAUCUUGACUGUACUGGCACAAUGGUGUAUAAAAUCUAGAGAGGAAACAAAUCAAUGUGAACCAUAGCAUAGUUAAUGGGUCUUCUCCAAAGCACUUAUUUGGUUAGAUAAAAGUACAUAAAGCACUUCUCACUGUGUCUGGUA